RNAcentral lists this transfer RNA (77 nucleotides) under Anditalea andensis. RNAcentral's name for it is "tRNA-Met". It matches the Rfam family "tRNA". Rfam says of the family: Transfer RNA (tRNA) molecules are approximately 80 nucleotides in length. Their secondary structure includes four short double-helical elements and three loops (D, anti-codon, and T loops). Further hydrogen bonds mediate the characteristic L-shaped molecular structure. tRNAs have two regions of fundamental functional importance: the anti-codon, which is responsible for specific mRNA codon recognition, and the 3' end, to which the tRNAs corresponding amino acid is attached (by aminoacyl-tRNA synthetases). tRNAs cope with the degeneracy of the genetic code in two manners: having more than one tRNA (with a specific anti-codon) for a particular amino acid; and 'wobble' base-pairing, i.e. permitting non-standard base-pairing at the 3rd anti-codon position. Lineage: Bacteria; Pseudomonadati; Bacteroidota; Cytophagia; Cytophagales; Cytophagaceae. The record is from RNAcentral.
GGCGAGAUAGCUCAGAUGGUUAGAGCGCAGGAUUCAUAACCCUGAGGUCGGCAGUUCGAUUCUGCUUCUCGCUACUA